GACGAACGCUGGCGGCGUGCUUAACACAUGCAAGUCGAACGGAAAGGCCCUGCUUUUGUGGGGUGCUCGAGUGGCGAACGGGUGAGUAACACGUGAGUAACCUGCCCUUGACUUUGGGAUAACUUCAGGAAACUGGGGCUAAUACCGGAUAGGAGCUCCUGCUGCAUGGUGGGGGUUGGAAAGUUUCGGCGGUUGGGGAAGGACUCGCGGCUUAUCAGCUUGUUGGUGGGGUAGUGGCUUACCAAGGCUUUGACGGGUAGCCGGCCUGAGAGGGUGACCGGCCACAUUGGGACUGAGAUACGGCCCAGACUCCUACGGGAGGCAGCAGUGGGGAAUAUUGCACAAUGGGCGGAAGCCUGAUGCAGCAACGCCGCGUGCGGGAUGACGGCCUUCGGGUUGUAAACCGCUUUCGCCUGUGACGAAGCGUGAGUGACGGUAGUGGGUAAAGAAGCACCGGCUAACUACGUG
RNAcentral lists this ribosomal RNA (468 nucleotides) under uncultured bacterium. RNAcentral describes it as "partial 16S ribosomal RNA". It matches the Rfam family "Bacterial small subunit ribosomal RNA", at positions 28 to 507 of the family's 1533-position model. The record is from RNAcentral.